UCCCUAGUAGCUCAGAUGGUAAAGCAUCUGACUGCAAUGCAGGAGACCCGAGUUUGAUCCCUGGGUUGGGAA
RNAcentral lists this transfer RNA (72 nucleotides) under Bos taurus (domestic cattle). It matches the Rfam family "tRNA". From Rfam's summary of the family: Transfer RNA (tRNA) molecules are approximately 80 nucleotides in length. Lineage: Eukaryota; Metazoa; Chordata; Mammalia; Artiodactyla; Bovidae. RNAcentral also lists the same sequence under 1 other name. The record is from Rfam by way of RNAcentral.